This 416-nucleotide ribosomal RNA is filed under the name bacterium Ellin7511. RNAcentral describes it as "bacterial SSU rRNA". It matches the Rfam family "Bacterial small subunit ribosomal RNA", at positions 32 to 457 of the family's 1533-position model. The record is from RNAcentral.
AAUCAACGCUGGCGGCGUGCCUAACACAUGCAAGUCGCACGAGAAAGGGUAGCAAUACCUGAGUAAAGUGGCGCACGGGUGAGUAACACGUGAAUUAUCUACCUUCGAGUGGGGAAUAACUGGGAGAAAUCUCAGCUAAUACCGCAUAACACCUACGGGUCAAAGCAGCAAUGCGCUUGAAGAGGAGUUCGCGGCAGAUUAGUUAGUUGGCGGGGUAAUGGCCCACCAAGACGAUGAUCUGUAUCCGGCCUGAGAGGGCGCACGGACACAUCUGGAACUGAAACACGGUCCAGACUCCUACGGGAGGCAGCAGUGGGGAAUUUUGCGCAAUGGGGGAAACCCUGACGCAGCAACGCCGCGUGGAGGAUGAAAUCCCUUGGGAUGUAAACUCCUUUCGAUCGGGACGAUUAUGACGG